RNAcentral lists this ribosomal RNA (376 nucleotides) under uncultured bacterium. Its description in RNAcentral is "bacterial SSU rRNA". It matches the Rfam family "Bacterial small subunit ribosomal RNA", at positions 524 to 898 of the family's 1533-position model. The record is from RNAcentral.
AACGUAGGGGGCGAGCGUUGUCCGGAAUUACUGGGCGUAAAGAGCGUGUAGGCGGUCUGUUAAGUCAGGUGUGAAACCUCCGGGCCUAACCGGGAGCGUGCAUCUGAAACUGGCGGACUUGAGAGCAGGAGAGGAAAGUGGAAUUCCUAGUGUAGCGGUGAAAUGCGUAGAUAUUAGGAAGAACACCAGUGGCGAAGGCGGCUUUCUGGCCUGCAACUGACGCUGAGACGCGAAAGCCAGGGGAGCGGACUGGAUUAGAUACCCCGGUAGUCCUGGCCGUAAACGAUGGGCACUAGGUGUAGGAGGUAUCGACCCCUCCUGUGCCGGAGCAAACGCAAUAAGUGCCCCGCCUGGGGAGUACGGCCGCAAGGUUGAA